This 240-nucleotide unclassified non-coding RNA is filed under the name soil metagenome. RNAcentral's name for it is "partial contains 5.8S ribosomal RNA, internal transcribed spacer 2, and large subunit ribosomal RNA". The record is from RNAcentral.
AACGAGGCCGACCUGCGGCUGAGUUACCUGCGGAGGGAUCAUUUCUGAAUACAGGCUUGGGCACUGUGGGUAGGCUCUCGAGCCUGGCCCGGUCCCAAAGCCUGCACCCCUUCAAACCUGUGGGCCAGAGAUGUGGAUUGGUGUUCGCCCCCCAGGGGCGUCCACCGCUUCAAUGCAAACCAAAGCCCUUUUUGUCUGAGACUAUGGAAUAAAUUUAAAACUUUUAGCAACGGAUCUCAG